GACUAAGCGUACACGGUGGAUGCCCUGGCAGUCAGAGGCGAUGAAGGACGUGCUAAUCUGCGUAAAGCGACGGUAAGGUGAUAUGAACCGCUACAGCCGUCGAUGUCCGAAUGGGGAAACCCGGUGCACUCAGUGCAUCAUUGCAGCAUGAAUACAUAGUGCUGCAAGGCGAACCGGGGGAACUGAAACAUCUAAGUACCCCGAGGAAAAGAAAUCAACCGAGAUUCCCCCAGUAGCGGCGAGCGAACGGGGAGCAGCCCAGAGCCUGAAUCAGCAUGUGUGUUAGUGGAAGCGUCUGGAAAGUCGCAGGGUACAGGGUGAUACUCCCGUACACAAAAGCACACACGCUGUGAGCUCGAUGAGUAAGGCGGGACACGUGGUAUCCUGUCUGAAUAUGGGGGGACCAUCCUCCAAGGCUAAAUACUCCUGACUGACCGAUAGUGAACCAGUACCGUGAGGGAAAGGCGAA
Molecule: ribosomal RNA, 469 nt
Filed under: Pantoea anthophila
Lineage: Bacteria; Pseudomonadati; Pseudomonadota; Gammaproteobacteria; Enterobacterales; Erwiniaceae
Description: partial 23S ribosomal RNA
Rfam family: Bacterial large subunit ribosomal RNA
Source: RNAcentral